Molecule: long non-coding RNA, 818 nt
Organism: Papaver somniferum (opium poppy)
Lineage: Eukaryota; Viridiplantae; Streptophyta; Magnoliopsida; Ranunculales; Papaveraceae
Exons: 2
Source: RefSeq, a predicted model, not a curated record
GCAAGCUUAGGCUUGUAUUAACCCGUAACCCGCGGGUUGGUCACAAGCCAGCCCCGGCCCGCCCGUUUGCCAGCUCUACUUGGGACGUGCUCUGGAUUUCCAUUUACCAUUCUAAGGAUGCUGCUGUAAGUGAAACUGGGGUUAAAAGCAGCAGUUAACUGCAGUUGGGCGACAAUGAAUUUCUUAUAAGGCCUUUGCAGCAGUCAGUGGUGGUGAACUGGUGAUUAGAGACGUAAACUAAGAAGCUAGAACUGGAGUUUGUUGUGAACGGAAAGUGGGUCUGAAAUGGUUGUGGGACGCUGGUGAUGUUGUACAAGAAUGAACGGGGUAGCCUGAACUGGGGUUAAGAGUAGAAGUUAACUGCAGUUGGGCUUAAUUGGACAUUUUAAGAGACUAGACUUGAUUGAGAUGAUGUGCCUGCGAAGAAAAGAUGGAAAAUGUGGAAAUAGUCGAGAAUUGAUGGCCGUCGUUGUGGGUACUUUGCUGGAAUCGGUUUGUUGACGGGUAAGCACCGGAACUGUAAAGUGAAACUGGUGGUGUCAUCUCAUUUAGAGUGCAGGAGGCUGUGGAGAAUUAUUGGCUCGAGUUGAUAAUAACUUCAGGUGGUAUUUGGCUUGAAUCUGUAGUAUUUGGCUUGAAUCUGUAGCUGACGAGAAUGUUGCAGUCAAAGUUAGCCGUGAACUGGCUAAUUGUAUAUAGAUUUUGAGGGUUCUUGUAUAGUUCGAGAUUAGGUUUUAAUGACAUUUCUCAAUUUUAAUAUAUACAUCAACACAUCACUGGUAGGGAGGCUACGAAUGUGUUGGUGUUGGUGUUAGUCA